AUUAAGCCAUGCAUGUUUCAGUGCAAACCAAACUAAGGUGAAACCGCAAAUGGCUCAUUAAAUCAGUUAUUAUUUAUUAGAUCAUACAUUAUAUUACUUGGAUAACUGUGGCAAUUCUAGAGCUAAUACAUGCAACCAGAGUUCCUGUUUUUACAGACAGGAACGCUUUUAUUAGAUCAAAACCAAUACGUUAGUUUCGGCUAACGAUUAAAAUGGUGACUCUGAAUAACUUUUUGAUGAUCGUAUGGUCUUUGUACCAUCGACAUAUCUUUCAAAUGUCUGACUUAUCAACUGUCGAUGGUAGGCUUUACGCCUACCAUGGUUGUAACGGGUAACGGGGAAUCAGGGUUCGAUUCCGGAGAGGGAGCCUGAGAAACGGCUACCACAUCCAAGGAAGGCAGCAGGCGCGCAAAUUACCCACUCCCAGCUCGGGGAGGUAGUGACGAAAAAUAACGAUACGGGACUCAUCCGAGGCCCCGUAAUCGGAAUGAGCACACUUUAAAUACUUUAACAAGUAUCCAUUGGAGGGCAAGUCUGGUGCCAGCAGCUGCGGUAAUUCCAGCUCCAAUAGCGUAUAUUAAAGUUGUUGCGGUUAAAAAGCUCGUAGUUGAGAUUGUGUUUCGCACUGUUGGUGCACCAUUAUUGGUGUUUACUUACAUGUUGUGAAACGUCCUGUCGGUGAGAUUGAAUGUAACCGUUUGGGUUUGUUCUUUUUUAAAGGCAGAUUCGGCGGCUCGCAAACUCUCUCUACUCACCCAUAACGGUGCUCUUUACUGAGUGUCGUGAUGGGCCGAUACGUUUACUUUGAACAAAUUAGAGUGCUAAAAGCAGGCAUUAUGCCUGAAUAUUGUGUGCAUGGAAUAAUAGAAUAGGACCUCGGUUCUAUUUUGUUGGUUUUCUGAACCAGAGGUAAUGAUAAAGAGAAACGGACGGGGGCAUCCGUAUUGAGACGUUAGAGGUGAAAUUCUUGGAUCGUAACAAGACGAACCGAAGCGAAAGCAUUUGCCAAGAACGUUUUCAUUAAUCAAGAACGAAAGUUAGAGGUUCGAAGGCGAUCAGAUACCGCCCUAGUUCUAACCAUAAACGAUGCCAGCCAGCGAUCCGCUAAAGUUCCUCCGAUGACUUAGCGGGCAGCUUACGGGAAACCAAAGCUUUUGGGUUCCGGGGGAAGUAUGGUUGCAAAGCUGAAACUUAAAGGAAUUGACGGAAGGGCACCACCAGGAGUGGAGCCUGCGGCUUAAUUUGACUCAACACGGGAAACCUCACCAGGUCCGGACACUGGAAGGAUUGACAGAUUGAGAGCUCUUUCUUGAUUCAGUGGGUGGUGGUGCAUGGCCGUUCUUAGUUGGUGGAACGAUUUGUCUGGUUAAUUCCGAUAACGAACGAGACUCUAACCUGCUAACUAGCCGUUCCCGACAUCAUAUGCUGUCGGCGGAUAAAAAAUCUUCUUAGAGGGACAGGCGGCUUCUAGCCGCACGAGAUUGAGCAAUAACAGGUCUGUGAUGCCCUUAGAUGUCCUGGGCCGCACGCGCGCUACAAUGAAGGUAUCAACGUGUCUUCCCAGGCCGAAUGGUCCGGGUAACCCGCUGAACCACCUUCGUGCUAGGGAUUGGGGCUUGCAAUUGCUCCCCAUGAACGAGGAAUUCCCAGUAAGCGCGAGUCAUAAGCUCGCGUUGAUUACGUCCCUGCCCUUUGUACACACCGCCCGUCGCUACUACCGAUUGAAUGAUUUAGUGAGGUCUUCGGACUGGUGCGCGAUAGCGUUAUCCAUAAUGCUGCCGAUGCUACUAGAAAGAUGACCAAACUUGAUCAUUUA
RNAcentral lists this ribosomal RNA (1816 nucleotides) under Doru spiculiferum. RNAcentral describes it as "SSU rRNA". It matches the Rfam family "Eukaryotic small subunit ribosomal RNA". The record is from RNAcentral. Lineage: Eukaryota; Metazoa; Arthropoda; Insecta; Dermaptera; Forficulidae.